UUUAUUAAGAGUUUGAUCCUGGCUCAGGACGAACGCUGGCGGCACGCUUAACACAUGCAAGUCGAACGGUGAAGAGGUGCUUGCACUUCGGAUCAGUGGCGGACGGGUGAGUAACACGUGAGCAAUCUGCCUUUAAGAGGGGAAUAACGACUGGAAACGGUCGGUAAUACCGCAUAACAUAUCGAAGCCGCAUGACUUUGAUAUCAAAGAUUUAUCGCUUAAAGAUGAGCUCGCGUCUGAUUAGCUAGUUGGUGAGGUAACGGCCCACCAAGGCGACGAUCAGUAGCCGGACUGAGAGGUUGAACGGCCACAUUGGGACUGAGACACGGCCCAGACUCCUACGGGAGGCAGCAGUGGGGAAUAUUGCACAAUGGGCGCAAGCCUG
Molecule: ribosomal RNA, 385 nt
Organism: Ruminococcus sp. YE71
Lineage: Bacteria; Bacillati; Bacillota; Clostridia; Eubacteriales; Oscillospiraceae
Rfam family: Bacterial small subunit ribosomal RNA
Source: Rfam